CCAGAUGUGUGGGGUGCAUGUGAGCCUGCGGCCCUGCUGUGGUUGUGUGGAUCUUAGGCUAGCUCUAACCAUGCAGGCACUGCCUGGCACCUGUCCACAGCUCAGGACACUCCCUGCCUUAGCUGACUCGCUAAUUAGCCCUGUUUGAUGGGAAAGCAUUUGGCAUCACGACCCUGGUUCGUGCAUGGAUUUGGAGCCCAGCCAUACAUUUCCUCGUCCUGUUUCCAUCCAUACCACAGAUACCACAGCUACUCUCACAGGUGGACGGGGUAACAGUAUAAACUGACCAACUCCAUGGCUGAACUUGAUCAGAAGCCAGGGCACGCUCUGCAUUCUGACCACUUAAGAAGGGACAUAGCCAAGCCGAAGUGGGACCUUUACCUUAUUUUAUGUCUGAGACAGGAUCUCUGUGAUAACCUAGAACUCAACAAUCCUCCUGCCUCAGCUUCCUGCCCCACUGUGCCCUGUUUUUGGAUGGUGCUUUUCUGUCUACCCUUUUUCCAUUGAGGAAAACCACAUAACCAGUGUACAACAGUAACCACCUUCAGCUGCUCACAUGCCAUCAUUCAGACCCUUGGGAUAUCAGAUGUUGAGCUCUGCAGUGGGAGGGCUGGUCCCUGAAUGGCUAGGAGCGGGUGGAGGAGGUGGGAGCAUCCUGUUCCCAAGGACCCCCAUGGGUGGUAGGCCUGUCAGAGAAAGCGUGGCAAUGGUGGUACUUCUCCAGACUCAGUGUUUUGUCUGGUUCCGGCAGGAAUCGUGAGCGACAGUGACUUUCCUCAUUCUGAUGGCAUGCCUGUGUGUGAGAUAUGCCACCACCUUCCUAGAGUAUUGAUUUUCUAGCCCGGGGACAGGGACUUUCUGAAACCCUACUGGGUCCCUGUCCCUGGAAGUGGCCACUUAGCUUUGGGCCACCUGUCCAACAGGAAUCUGAGGGGAUGUUCAGUCAGGCUGCUUUGGGGACAUGAGGGCCUUGGGCAGAUGUCCCUGGGCUGCCCUGGACACAUGCCCAAAGCUCACCCAGCCUCAGUUUCCCACAGCCUGGGCCCAGGCUUGUAAGUAUAGCACUUGGCAUGGUGAUGUAUAGUACCUGCAUUGCGUUGUGUGUCCAUCCCCAGCCCCCCUCCCCCAGCUAUCCCCCGGUACAGGGCCUGAACACAGGUGCCAGACUUAAAAGCCAGCCCUGGGUCCCCUGAGGGUCAUCACUCAGGAUGUGCCAGUUUGGGCCUGGGUGGCAUGUAGUUACAUGCUACCUUCUCCCGGCUCCACGUCUCCUGGGGUCUGCCGUUUGUCCUAUGAGUUUCCGUUCACAUAGGGAUUGGCUGCGUCUAUUGUGGUACCCCCAAUGCCGAGGAUACAGUUCUCUCCUUGAAGCCAUAGACUGUAUGCCCUAGGCUGCUGGGGUGUGCAGAGAAGUUGGACGUUUUGAAAGCGCUGCAUUCUUGUGCCUGGAGAUCUUUUCUAGAAAGGUCUAUCAAGGUAUUGAAUAACCUGCAGGUGUCUGUCUGAGCCUGAGGCAACCGACUGCUUUCAGACACAUGCAAAACAGCCCUGAAAACUGCCAGUUGGAGUGAAUGCGCACCUCCCCCAGGUAAACAGUGGUGUAUUUUCUGCAACGGACGGAGAGGAGAUCAGUCAGAACUCACCGCUAAAGUUUCUAGGUAAAAGUUGUUGAUUUGCAAAGAGAGAAACAGAUUUUUUUAAGUGCAGGAAACGGCUGUGUGGGCGUCAGUGAUUGGGCUGCCUGAGAUAGCGGGAUCCUGGCGGGCCCCACCCUGCCACUUCCUGCCAGCGCUGCCCUGCGGCUCCCAGCAGAGCCUACCCGCUGCCCCAGCUACACUCACUCACCAGCCAGUCACCUUUAACCUCUCCCCAGGUUAAUGAUCAUUUUUAUUACUACUCGUGACCUCCCCCACUUCUGCAAGGCCAGGCGCACGAUGGGGAGGAUAAGGUCAUGGCGACUUUGCCCCUUCCCCACAGCGCCUCCUCUGACCGUGCACCCACGUUAGCAAGCAGCCCUCAUGAGCAGCCACAUGAGAACGGUCUGGCCUUGUGUUGAAUUCGAUGCCCCUUCCAGAGCAGAAGCAAAAAGUCAUUUCUCCUGUGGCAUACACUUCCUCUCCCACCCAUGUGAGAUCUAUGCAGAGUGGCAUGAGUUCCUCACAGGGUCACUGUGGCCUGCAGGGUACAGGCACAGGGAAUGUUCUAGGGCUGUAAGCAGCCCACUCGAGUGUGCUCUCAACCCUCCUGUGAGGUACCAGGCCAGGGUCGGAACCUGCGUGUCUGGGCCCUGGUGCUGGCCAUGCUGUGCCCGAGCCUCCUGUGGCUGCGUGUUGUCAAAUGGCAUCGCCAUCUGAGCCUGUGGUUAGCACCUCUGCCCUGAACGUAACUACUUUAAUUCCGUUCCCACGAUGGUGGCAAAGAGAUAAUGCAGUGGGUACACUAGAGAGUUUAGAAUGGGACAGACUUGUUCCAUUUCAGGAAGAUUCUGGCGUUUGCCAGCCAGCCAGGAUGGGCAGAAGGCACCCAAGCAGCCCGAGACACCUAAACUGGUGGAGCGUCACCACCCCCAUCUUGCCCUCACUCAGUGCUCUGCUGUUGUCAAGGCAGCCCUGGAGUGUCUGUCCCAGGGCCCGGUGUGUGUAACCAGUGCCUGCUGAGGAUGCUGGCUGAGGAGGCACCUGUGUACUACUACAAGGGCUGCUUUCCCGGCGACUGCGGAGUCCAUGCUUCUUCAGCUAGUUUCGGUGACCUGGCAGUUCCCGCUCUUUAGAGUUAGCAGAACAAUUUGAAAAUAGAAAAAGUAUUUGCCUACCUCAGCACACCCACCCUUUUGUACACAGCAGGGUGGAUCCAGUGGGUGUCUUGUAACUCCAUUACCUGGUAUGCAGUAGUGGGUAAAUGCCCCUCCAGGAGUGGGUCACAGUCAUUGGAGCUCCUGGGGGCACCUGCAGGAUGUAAGCCCAGAGAAAUAGGGCCUUCCUUACCAUCUGUGUCUGCAGAGGUGAGUGGGCAGAAGCCACUGACUCCCAGGCCCUCACAGAGCCAAGGGGUCACUGUUGGUUUACGUAAAGGAUUCAGGCUAGGGCUCCAGAUACAGCCUCCCCAGCCCUCUGGCAAGGGCAGGGUAAUCACUCACCGCUUGUCAGAAAUCUGACCAUAAAGAGAGCCAAGUAGGGGGUGCUGGAGAGAUGGCUCAGUGCUUUAAGAGCACUGGCUGCUCUUCCAGAGGUCCUGAGUUCAAUUCCCAGCACCCACACGGUGGCUCCCAACCAUCUGUAAUGGAAUCCAUUGCCCUCUUUUGUCAUGCAGUUAUACAUGUGAGUAGAGCACUCAUAUACAUAAAUUACAUAAGAAAAAAGAGCCAAGUAGGGACCCUCCUCUUAAACCUCCCCGGGCUCCUCUGUGGGCCUGUGACCCUUUCCACCACAGGGCAUUCGUUCCCACUGUAGACAUCACAGUCUGUGGUGACUUUGUUAAAUGUGGGCACUCGUCUCCCUGCCCUUCACAGAGGUAGCAUUCUAGCUAUGUUAGCCCUUGUGGGGAAGAACAAAGAAGGGCCCUGGCAGCCCCAUGGCUGUGCAUAGCCAGCACUUAGGGUCCCCACCACCUGGCUUCUCUGCAGAUAGCAUCUCUCUGAGCACCCACUGGGACAGGAGGUCGUGUCAAAAGUGCCUUCUCGGAAUGCAGUGGGAGACCUGUCGGUUUGUGUUGUUUCGCAGUGAAGACUGACAGGUGCCAGCAAGGUGGCUUAUGCCUGUGGUCCCAGCACAUGGGGGCACAAGGUCCCGCUGAGGCUGUAGAGUGAAGCCCUGUCUCGAGAAACACCAGAAAUGAAUGACAGAACACAGGGCAGGUGGUUUGUAGCAAUUCAUGUCAGCCCUGCCCCCAGCCUGUUUUCUUCUGUAGGCUAAUGUCACCCCUUCAGUUCCUUGUUAGAGAUCAGAGCAACCUUUGUGAAAACUAGAAGAAAAUUGUCAUCCUCGCUUCAAAUCCGUUUGUCUUUUGUGCACCCGAAGUGAGUGGCCACCUUCUUCCCUUUGCAUGGUGGGGUGAUACCAUGUCCACCGGGCCCGCCAGCCCCAGAGAGUCCCAUGACCCCUGCCCGUUUCACAGUAGACAAAAACAGCCAAGCACAGGUGGGGAUAACAAAUAUUUGUUCAGCUUUUCUCCUUAGCUCAGACCCAAACCUCAUCCUGUCCCCUCCAAUGUGCCAAGCAAGUCUUCUCAAAAAUUGGUAAAUAUUUUUGGUGGGAAAUGUCGGCACCAUGAUGUGAUCCGGGACCUCAGAUUUUUAUCUCCUGGGCUGUGCUCUGUGCUCUGCUCUGCUCUGCCGGUGUGCAGGACUCCUGCCUGCCUGCAAGCCCGCAGUGGCCCGGGCACCGAGGCUGCCAGAACAAGUCAGCUGGAGAACGGAGGUGUGAUCAGAAAGGACGCCUUCCUUGUGACAGUUGAAAGUUUGAGUCAGGCAGUUUGAUUUCUCUCUCCUCUGUCCCUGCUUAGUUUUUGUUUUGCUGUUAAGCUCGGGCAGAAAGGGGUGAGAUCUCUGGUGACCUCUUAGUGUCUCUGCCUGGUGUGUCCCUGCCUGGUGUGAUGUUCCUCACCUAGUUCCCAACAGAAGGACUCCCAGAAGCCUGGCAGUAUGAACGACCAGUGCUGUUUGUGGUGAAGGACACUUGACGGUGUUUGGGUGCCCAUGUCAGGGUGCACAGCAGUGUGGGAGCGACCUGGGUUGCAGAGGGUAAUGGCUGGGGUGGGGCAGCUGCCCUGACCACAAACCUUUAGUCUUUGUUUUCUAGUUGUCUUUUUUGGAGGUGUUUUUCCUGUAUUUAUCUUUCAUCUGCAGAACUGCGUUUUCUAAGUACAGCGAUGAUUUGUGUUAACAGAACUUAAGAGUUUGACAGAGGCAAGCACACACUCUCUGGUUUGUUUUGUAAAUUUUCCCCCUUUUACAGCAGGAUGUCUCACCCUAUAGCCCAGGCUAGUUGCCUGGAACUCAUGAUCCCCCUGCCUCAGCCUUCAGAGUGCUGAGGUUAGAGGUGUACACCAUUCCAUAUGUAUGUGGUGCUGGUGAGAGCCCAGGGCUUCCUGCAUACCAAAUAAGUUAAAUAUUUGAUAUUCUCCUUAAUCAGAUUUCUAGGGACCCUGCACCCCAGACCUCUGACUGUUCUCUUGUAUCACCCCUUGAAUGGAGAGAGUCACCCUUCUUGGAGCUGAUUAUUGAGAUCCCAGUGCAUUACCUGAACCUGGCUCUGGAAUGGCUUAAGGGAUCCCUGAAAAGCAAGCUAAGGUCAGGUGAAGGCGAACCCCUGACCUAGUCUCUGGGUGUGCUGGCUCUGUGUACUGGGCGACAAACAGCUUCGGAAACCUGAGAAAUAGAAAAUUAAAGAAAUUCUUACCAGGGUGGGGCCGGCCACUGAGUAAUUUUUUUUUAGCAGAGUGUGCUGUGGUAAACCAUGGAGUUCGUGUUGUUUUUGCCGAAGUCAGUGCUGUGUGUGGUUUCGGUACACCGCUCGGGUGGCUGUUGAAACUGCUGUGGUUUCCACAUAAGGCCUACUGUGCCUCUUCAGUCCCCUCAGCUAGUACAGCGGGCCGGGGGCAUGGGCCAGGGGUACCAUGCCUGCUGUGGCAUUGAUUACCACACACCAACCUGCUAAAUUUUUCAUGUAACAAAAGUUACAUGUUGUUGUUUGUUACUUUGAGGGGGGCAUCUCACAGGCUGUCUCAGAGAUUCCCCCUGCCUGAGUGCUACGAUUCAAGGUGUGUGCCGCCAUGCCUGGCCAAACAAUCCUUUUAUUGCUGUUGUUAUUAAUGAUACUUAGGAACUUUGUUUUUAUUUCCUUCCUUUUCUUUUCUUUAACUACAUUUAUUUGCACAUUCGUUAGUGGCACACAGGUCGGGGAUCGAGGGCAGCUCUCAAGGGUCAGUUCUUCCAUCAUGUGAGUCAUUGAACCCGGGCUGUGAGCAAGCAGCUUCGUUUGCUGGGCCAUCCUACCAGUAUUGACUUUAGACAUGGCCUCAGCCUUUCUGAGUUUAUUCUGAUCCUUUCCCGAAGCCAUCUCUCCAUACUCGUGUCCCAAGAGCCCAAACCACUGUGACCUUGCUUCCUACUGCUGGGACAGACAGAAUGACUGUCACACUCAGGAUCAGCUCCACCUCAGAAAAUAGGGAAAGCAAUUAAGGAGUUAGCAGAAGUGGUUACAUAAAAGCAGGAACUAGACCCAGCCUUGAAACAAUACAGCCACCAAAAAUAACUGGGUGCCAAGUGGGAAGCCACGGCCAGGGGCUUCCAUCAUUGCUCAAGCCCUGGCACAGUCCAGGGCCACGCCACCCUGCAAGUGGAAGGACCUGCAGCGCCUGCACACCAGCACCCAAAACACAGGCACCAAGAGAAAACAACCGUUUCUCUCCUGAAAACAAGAGGCAGCAGUUGCUGCUGUUGGGUUUCAUGAGCGCAGUCGCGAUUUCUAAAUAACGGUUUCAGCUGCAGCGAGUCAUGGUGUGAAAGCCUCUUUUCAUCUCGGAUCACCUCUCUGCUCUCAGAAGCCUUAGCCUCACUUGGCUGCAGCCGGCUGCAUUCCUGACGGCCCCUCCCAGCAAAACAGUUUUUUGUAUAUAUAUAUUUUUUAAAUCCCGCAAGCCAGAGGAGAAAGAGUUCUUCAUCAAAUAGAUGAAGAGAUUCAAAGUGGCUAGCUGCCUCCUUUCCCUGCUCAGAUGUUUUCAGAUCUGCCCAGCCUUGCCACACCCUUUAAGAAAUGUCCUGCUCUUAAAUUCUUAUUGUUCAUUGUUUUUUGAGAUGGUGUCUCAUGUAGUGCAGGCUAGCCUCAGACUCUAGGUAGCUAAUGAUGAACUUGAACUCCUGGUCUUCCUUGCUUCAGCCCCUGUACUUGAGUCAGAGGCGUGGUCGACCACACCUAGUUUUUAGUGGGUAGGGAAUGAAACCCAGGGCUUCGCUCCGGGCUGAAAAAGCACCCCACCCUUGUUUUUAUUUGAAACUGGGCUGACUAUGUAAUACAGUCUAGCUUUAAGUUCAUAACUCUGCCUCAGCCUCCCAAGUACGGGGUGACCGCCCACAUAACAUGGUCAAGGCCAGCCGGGGCUACAUGAGACCCUUUCUCAAAAAACAGAAAGUCCUGUUUCCAUUAGUGACCUUCUCUGCAUAGCUGGGGGUCAGGACUUCUAGCCAUGGACUUGAUGGUAGAAUAUGGUGACAGGCUGAGCAGGCAGCACAGGCUAGGUGGGGAUGUGCAGGAGGUCCCUCCACUCCUCAUGACCCUCCAAGAGUCAGCUGGUUCAGUCUCUAGUCUAGGACCUUGUCAGUACUAGACCUGCACAGGCAUGAGUUAAUGUGUGUUUGUGCAUGGUGGAGGUGGGUUUCAGAAACCAUGAUGGCAUAAGAUAGCAUCUGCUUUGAGAGUGCCCGGGGUUGGGGUCACUGCAGAAAGCUGGGAGGAGAGUUGGUGUGUGGUCCUGGGGCUUUCCUGGUACUCGGGUACCUAGGGAACUCAGAUUUUGUGCUAUAGAGAGCUACAUUCAGUCAAAGGCGCUCAGCCCUCCCUCCUAGUUCCUGGUUGGGCACUGAGGAUGGGGGUGGGGGAGGUCCAUAUUCAGGGAUAGAGGUUCCAGGCAUUGCGAAGAGAAUGAGAAAGCACACAGUAAGUGACUUAGCUACCAGGCUUUAGUCACAAGGGCCACAGAGGCUGUGACAGGUACCUGAGCCAUGCCACAGGAUGACCUUGGAUGUAGAUGAGGUGGAGUGCAUGAUGGGUAGGUGGGAAGGUCUCUGGCGGGAGGGGGUUUGUUUAGGGUGGAAGUUACAGAGGCAGUGAACAGAGAGGGUGCCCAAAGGAGGGCAGGCGCCUCUCCAUGUCAUUCUCUUUGCCUGGCUUCCCUUGGCCGAGGCUCCCAGAACACAGGCUGUGCUUAUGUUCCCAGCAGUCUGGGGACUGAGGAAAGGGGCCCAAGACAACAGUUAGACUCUGUGUUGGUACCACAAGUGUGCUGGUUCCUUGUGAGCCUCCCCAGCCUCUGCUGCCUGCCUGCUCUGGGGGUCCAGGGAUACAGGUGGCCUUGGCUGCCUGUUCCUUCAUCUCUGGUGGGGGGCCUGCUGGGGACUGGCCUGCAGGGAGGCUGGAGGUCGGCAG
Peromyscus leucopus (white-footed mouse) is the source of this 8141-nucleotide long non-coding RNA. RefSeq lists it as uncharacterized. The record is from RefSeq and is a predicted model, not a curated record. The transcript is spliced from 2 exons. Lineage: Eukaryota; Metazoa; Chordata; Mammalia; Rodentia; Cricetidae.